ACGGCGGCGGCGGCGACGACUCGCCUAAUUGCAGGUGACGUGCGCACCGAAUCCGCACUUGGUACCCCCCGAGACGCACACACACGCCACGCACACGCGCAUCGAUCCUCCCGGUACGGGGAACUCUCGUCCCUCUCCCCUACCCCGAAACAGUCGAUAGUUUGCCGCUGCUGGAGGCGAUUCGAUCCGGCGCGCUGCUCUCGCAAUUAGGCGCGACGCGCCGCGGCUCGACCACGUGGAUUCGCGCAAAGUCGUCACUCGCGGCGUGGGCGCGAAUAAUCCGCGCGAAAACGAGCAAAAGCGAUCGCGACGACUCCCCCACGCCGGAAAUAGCCACCAGAAGGCGAGGAGAGACGGCGGAUCUCGAGAGCGGGAACGGGAAUAUCGGAGAUGCGAUUCUUAUAAAUUUUCUCACGAAAUAAUGAUAUAAAAGAAGCGCGCGUCGAAACUCGCUCCUCGGUCCUCAACACGGAUCCUACGAGCAGGCAACCCGGCUUUCGGCUUUUCUUGCUCGACGAAACGAUUUUCGCUCUAUAUAUCGGCGGCCUCGCGAAGGCGCCUACGAACAUGAGAGAGAGAGAGAGAGAGAGAGAGAGAGAGGAGAAGAAGAAGAGAGAGAGACCAUCCAUAUACCUCGCUACGCAGUGGAUGUACAUAAGCGUAGCCUCCACUCUUCUCAACUUGGCGUUGCGCCUGCAGCCACGGCAAGUACAUAGGCGCGAUCUAUAUAAGCCGAACACAUACCGUGGCGGCGGUUCUUUCACUGUCCUACAUUGAAAAUUGAAGGUCCUGCGGAAAAUGGUACGACAUGAUGUAACAGGACACAACCCGUUUAUACUGUUACGUCUGUUGUAUUACAAGCAAUAAUUAACUGCAUUUUUAUAAAAAUCGUCUAAAUAAAACUGCACGAAACAUUGGUCUUUAUCUAGCCAUACGUCGAGAAUCAAGAUUUUACAAAGGUCAAAUUUAAGACGGUAAUAAUAAAUAAUAAAUAAAUGUUAAGCAACAUAAACGAUAAUUAUUUAAAAAAAAAGUAGAGAAAAGUCACGUUUUCUAUUGCAACUUUUCUGUCUUAACAAAAGAUCCUUUUGGAAUUCCUCUUGUCAAAAUAAUAAAUAAUGAACAAAAUUUAAGUAAUAAAAAUGAUAAUUUGUUAUUUAAAGAUAUUUUCCUUAUAAUAUUGAUAAAUAAUACUAAUGUGGAGAAAAUUGAAAAUAAUUUUUUAUAAUAAUGAUUUAAAUGUAAUACAAAUGACGUUGCCACGAUUUCAUUUGUGUAAUGUCAUAUUUAAAGAGAAUUAUAUAAUUCAUGAGCAUUACAUACUCUUACACAAAAACGAUACGAUCAAACUUUAUUUUUUUUUUUAUUUCAAAAUGUUCUUAAAACUCCAUCCUAUCUUAUGAAUAUAGUUUUUCAAAAUUCUUACAUUUUGUUUGAUUAAAUUAUUUAAAACUCUUCUUCUAAGAAUAAGACUCAAUGCUAUUUUACAAAAUUAUUUAAAGAAAUCUAUAAGGUCAAAAAAAUUAAAAAAGUUCAGAAAUACUUAUAUGUUAAUCAUAAACUUAUUUUAAAAAUAUGACUAAGUUCUUUAUUAUGGGAGCAUACUAGAGAGAACUUUUUUAGAAAUUGUACAUUGUGAUUCAAGAAGAUUCUACAAAGAUCAAAUUUAAAUAACAUUGAUUUACAAGUUUUCUGUUUUUCAAUACUUGAAUGAUUCUAUAUAUUUUUAGUUGUUUAAAAAAAAAUGUAAAGUUAAAAAAGUUCGAACGGUAAUAACAUCUGUUUAAUGCUAUAUGUAUAAUCUCAUUUCGAAAAUAAAGAUAUUCACAAAAUAAGAAUGUUCUUUUCUUCUGCGUAAAAAAAAA
This is a long non-coding RNA of Solenopsis invicta (red fire ant), 1865 nucleotides long. RefSeq lists it as uncharacterized. Lineage: Eukaryota; Metazoa; Arthropoda; Insecta; Hymenoptera; Formicidae. The record is from RefSeq and is a predicted model, not a curated record. The transcript has 2 exons.